UGGGGAAUCUUGGACAAUGGGCGCAAGCCUGAUCCAGCCAUGCCGCGUGAGUGACGAAGGUCUUCGGAUUGUAAAGCUCUUUUGGCGGGGACGAUAAUGACGGUACCCGCAGAAUAAGCCCCGGCUAACUUCGUGCCAGCAGCCGCGGUAAUACGAAGGGGGCUAGCGUUGUUCGGAAUUACUGGGCGUAAAGCGCACGUAGGCGGAUUUGUAAGUCAGGGGUGAAAUCCCGGGGCUCAACCUCGGAACUGCCUUUGAUACUGGCUGUCUCGAGGUCGAGAGAGGUUGGUGGAAUUCCUAGUGUAGAGGUGAAAUUCGUAGAUAUUAGGAAGAACACCAGUGGCGAAGGCGGCCAACUGGCUCGAUACUGACGCUGAGGUGCGAAAGCGUGGGGAGCAAACGAGGAUUAGAUACCCCAGUAGUCCCUGAGCGGGCUGGCAAGGCGCAU
Molecule: ribosomal RNA, 448 nt
Filed under: uncultured bacterium
Lineage: Bacteria
Description: bacterial SSU rRNA
Rfam family: Bacterial small subunit ribosomal RNA
Source: RNAcentral